UCCGGCUCUUAUCGAAGCCGCAGCUGCUUCCACAUCACUGCUGAGGUCAAAAAGCCCGGAGUGACAGUUUUCUUUGACGGUCACCAUUCUAUUUGCUUCACUGAUCUGCAACAUUUCAGGAAAAACAGGG
This is a small nucleolar RNA of Phyllostomus discolor (pale spear-nosed bat), 130 nucleotides long. NCBI's taxonomy places the organism in Eukaryota, Metazoa, Chordata, Mammalia, Chiroptera, Phyllostomidae. The record is from RefSeq and is a predicted model, not a curated record.